UGGAUGGAUAUGUGGAUGGACAGAUGUGUGGAUGGAUAUGUGGAUGGACAGAUGUGUGGAUGGAUGGAUGGACAGAUGUGUGGAUGGAUAUGUGGAUGGACAGGUGUGUGGAUGGAUAUGUGGAUGGACAGAUGUGUGGAUGGAUAUGUGGAUGGACAGGUGUGUGGAUGGAUAUGUGGAUGGACAGAUGUGUGGAUGGAUAUGCGGAUGGACAGGUGUGUGGAUGGAUAUAUGGAUGGACAGAUUGUGUGGAUGGAUAUAUGGAUGGACAGAUGUGUGGAUGGAUAUGUGGAUGGACAGAUGUGUGGAUGGAUAUGCGGAUGGACAGAUGUGUGGAUGGAUGGAUGGACAGAUGUGUG
Molecule: long non-coding RNA, 359 nt
Organism: Ictalurus punctatus (channel catfish)
Lineage: Eukaryota; Metazoa; Chordata; Actinopteri; Siluriformes; Ictaluridae
Source: Ensembl